AAUUCUCAACCUUAUUAGCUUUUGUUGAUAAUGGAUUGGAUGUGGGGGUUUCUUUUGCUGGCUUCUUCACAGAUAUCAGCUCCCCUUAAAUGCAUUAGCUGGUGCCCUGCGUGGACCAUCUAUUGGUGUGAUAAUUAUCUACGCCGUGGAUGUCUGCAAUCAUAUGGGUUUUGCACUGCUUCUAACCGUCUGUUCAUUCGGACAAUACAUGACA
RNAcentral lists this unclassified non-coding RNA (214 nucleotides) under uncultured Hymenogastraceae. RNAcentral's name for it is "sequence contains ITS2". Lineage: Eukaryota; Fungi; Basidiomycota; Agaricomycetes; Agaricales. The record is from RNAcentral.